This 836-nucleotide ribosomal RNA is filed under the name uncultured bacterium. Its description in RNAcentral is "bacterial SSU rRNA". The stretch from base 1 to 683 matches the Rfam family "Bacterial small subunit ribosomal RNA". The record is from RNAcentral.
CGCAGACGGGUGAGUAACACGUGGGUGACCUACCUCGAGGUGGGGGAUACCCGGGAAACUCGGGCUAAUACCGCAUAACAUCGUGAGAUCAAAGCGGCCCGCAAGGGUCGCGCCGUGAGAGGGGCCCGCGUCUGAUUAGCUAGUUGGUGAGGUAACGGCUCACCAAGGCGACGAUCAGUAGCCGGCCUGAGAGGGCGAUCGGCCACACUGGAACUGAGACACGGUCCAGACUCCUACGGGAGGCAGCAGUGGGGAAUUUUGCGCAAUGGGGGAAACCCUGACGCAGCAACGCCGCGUGGAGGAUGAAGGUCCUUGGAUUGUAAACUCCUGUCAGCAGGGAAGAACUCCUUACGGUGAAUAACCGUAAGGAUUGACGGUACCUGCAGAGGAAGCCCCGGCUAACUCUGUCCAGCAGCCGCGGUAAUACAGAGGGGGCAAGCGUUAUUCGGAAUUAUUGGGCGUAAAGGGCGCGUAGGCGGCUUCGCAAGUGGUGGGUGAAAUCCCUCGGCUUAACCGAGGAACUGCCCUCCAAACUGCGUUGCUGGAGUCCCGAGAGGAGAAUUGAAUUCCCAGGCUGCGGUAGAAGUCGUAGACAUUGUUCAGAACACACAGUGGCGAAUCGCCCUCUCAGACCGGAUACUGAUGCGUGAGCCUUGGUGAGCCGUUACCUCACCAACUAGUUAAUCAGACGCGGGCCCCUCUCACGGCGCGACCCUUGCGGGCCGCUUUGAUCUCACGAUGUUAUGCGGUAUUAGCCCGAGUUUCCCCGGGUUAUCCCCCACCUCGAGGUAGGUCACCCACGUGUUACUCACCCGUCUGCCGCUCGACUCAGGUAU